GGGUGCGAUCAUACCUGCGUUAAUGCAUCAGAUCCCAUCAGAACUCUGCAGUUAAGCACGCUUGGGAUAGAGUAGUACUGGGAUGGGUAACCUCCGAGGAAGUCCUAGUGUUACCCCCU
This is a non-coding RNA of Picea glauca (white spruce), 119 nucleotides long. Lineage: Eukaryota; Viridiplantae; Streptophyta; Pinopsida; Pinales; Pinaceae. The record is from Rfam.